RNAcentral lists this ribosomal RNA (680 nucleotides) under Peripatopsis clavigera. RNAcentral's name for it is "bacterial SSU rRNA". It matches the Rfam family "Eukaryotic small subunit ribosomal RNA", at positions 989 to 1441 of the family's 1831-position model. The record is from RNAcentral. Lineage: Eukaryota; Metazoa; Onychophora; Udeonychophora; Euonychophora; Peripatopsidae.
GUCAGAGGUUCGAAGGCGAUCAGAUACCGCCCUAGUUCUGACCGUAAACGAUGCCACCUGACGAUCCGCCAGGGUUACUACCAUGACUCGGCGGGCAGUCCCCGGGAAACCCAAGCCUUCGGGUUCCGGGGGAAGUAUGGUUGCAAAGCUGAAACUUAAAGGAAUUGACGGAAGGGCACCACCAGGAGUGGAGCCUGCGGCUUAAUUUGACUCAACACGGGGAACCUCACCCGGCCCGGACACCGCGAGGAUUGACAGAUUGAGAGCUCUUUCUCGAUUCGGUGGGUGGUGGUGCAUGGCCGUUCUUAGUUGGUGGAGCGAUUUGUCUGGUUAAUUCCGAUAACGAACGAGACUCUAGCCGGUUAAGUAGCCCGAGCGGUUUUUGAUCUUUGCCGUUCAUCCUCGUUCGACCUUUCGCGUCGUCCUUUCCUUUUGUUCGGCCCGUCUCCGUCGUUUUUUUUUCCGUUUCCUCUCGUCUUCCCGAUCGUCCGUCGUCCCGUCGACUCGUUCGACGGGUGCCGACGGUUUUCGUGGUUUUCGAGGGGCUUUCGGUUGAGGGCGGCGGAGCGGUCCGUUCAGGGUCGGGUAUACGCUGGGCCGUUUCGAGGUGAAAGCAUAACCGAAGGCCGCCGGCUUUUAAGGAAGCUUCUUAGAGGGACGAGCGGCGUUCAGCCGCCCGA